CGUUGUUGGGUAGGGGAGCGUUCUGUAAGCCUGCGAAGGUGUGCUGUGAGGCAUGCUGGAGGUAUCAGAAGUGCGAAUGCUGACAUAAGUAACGAUAAAGCGGGUGAAAAGCCCGCUCGCCGGAAGACCAAGGGUUCCUGUCCAACGUUAAUCGGGGCAGGGUGAGUCGACCCCUAAGGCGAGGCCGAAAGGCGUAGUCGAUGGGAAACAGGUUAAUAUUCCUGUACUUGGUGUUACUGCGAAGGGGGGACGGAGAAGGCUAUGUUGGCCGGGCGACGGUUGUCCCGGUUUAAGCGUGUAGGCUGGUUUUCCAGGCAAAUCCGGAAAAUCAAGGCUGAGGCGUGAUGACGAGGCACUACGGUGCUGAAGCAACAAAUGCCCUGCUUCCAGGAAAAGCCUCUAAGCAUCAGGUAACAUCAAAUCGUACCCCAAACCGACACAGGUGGUCAGGUAGAGAAUACCAAGGCGCUUGAGAGAACUCGGGUGAAGGAACUAGGCAAAAUGGUGCCGUAACUUCGGGAGAAGGC
RNAcentral lists this ribosomal RNA (527 nucleotides) under Escherichia coli. RNAcentral describes it as "partial 23S ribosomal RNA". It matches the Rfam family "Bacterial large subunit ribosomal RNA", at positions 1219 to 1747 of the family's 2925-position model. The record is from RNAcentral. Lineage: Bacteria; Pseudomonadati; Pseudomonadota; Gammaproteobacteria; Enterobacterales; Enterobacteriaceae.